AAGUCCAUGGUGUGGACAUUUUUGAAGUAAAUUUCUAAACCUUUUCCACUCUUUAUAUAAUGAUUCACCAUCUUGUUGACUAAAAUUAGUUAUAUCCAUUCUAAACUU
Coffea eugenioides is the source of this 108-nucleotide small nucleolar RNA. The record is from RefSeq and is a predicted model, not a curated record. Lineage: Eukaryota; Viridiplantae; Streptophyta; Magnoliopsida; Gentianales; Rubiaceae.